RNAcentral lists this non-coding RNA (23 nucleotides) under Arabidopsis thaliana (thale cress). Lineage: Eukaryota; Viridiplantae; Streptophyta; Magnoliopsida; Brassicales; Brassicaceae. The record is from RNAcentral.
UCAAGAAAGCGGGAUAGGCGCCC